AUUGAACGCUGGCGGCAUGCCUUACACAUGCAAGUCGAACGGUAACGGGUCCUUCGGGAUGCCGACGAGUGGCGAACGGGUGAGUAAUAUAUCGGAACGUGCCCAGUAGUGGGGGAUAACUGCUCGAAAGAGCAGCUAAUACCGCAUACGACCUGAGGGUGAAAGGGGGGAUCGCAAGACCUCUCGCUAUUGGAGCGGCCGAUAUCAGAUUAGCUAGUUGGUGGGAUAAAAGCUUACCAAGCCGACGAUCUGUAGCUGGUCUGAGAGGACGAUCAGCCACACUGGGACUGAGAAACGGCCCAGACUCCGACGGGAGGCAGCAGUGGGGAAUUUUGGACAAUGGGCGCAAGCCUGAUCCAGCAAUGCCGCGUGCAGGAUGAAGGCCUUCGGGUUGUAAACUGCUUUUGUACGGAACGAAAAGCCCCGGGUUAAUACCCUGGGGUCAUGACGGUACCGUAAGAAUAAGCACCGGCUAACUACGUGCCAGCAGCCGCCGUAA
This 499-nucleotide ribosomal RNA is filed under the name uncultured bacterium. Its description in RNAcentral is "partial 16S ribosomal RNA". It matches the Rfam family "Bacterial small subunit ribosomal RNA", at positions 30 to 523 of the family's 1533-position model. The record is from RNAcentral.